This 495-nucleotide ribosomal RNA is filed under the name uncultured bacterium. Its description in RNAcentral is "partial 16S ribosomal RNA". It matches the Rfam family "Bacterial small subunit ribosomal RNA", at positions 29 to 506 of the family's 1533-position model. The record is from RNAcentral.
AUGCACGCUGGCGGCGUGCCUCAUACAUGCAAGUCGCGCGAACGGACGAGAAGCUUGCUUCUCUGAUGUUAGCGGCGGACGGGUGAGUAACACGUGGAUAACCUACCUAUAAGACUGGGAUAACUUCGGGAAACCGGAGCUAAUACCGGAUAAUAUUUUGAACCGCAUGGUUCAAAAGUGAAAGACGGUCUUGCUGUCACUUAUAGAUGGAUCCGCGCUGCAUUAGCUAGUUGGUAAGGUAACGGCUUACCAAGGCAACGAUGCAUAGCCGACCUGAGAGGGUGAUCGGCCACACUGGAACUGAGACACGGUCCAGACUCCUACGGGAGGCAGCAGUAGGGAAUCUUCCGCAAUGGGCGAAAGCCUGACGGAGCAACGCCGCGUGAGUGAUGAAGGUCUUCGGAUCGUAAAACUCUGUUAUUAGGGAAGAACAUAUGUGUAAGUAACUGUGCACAUCUUGACGGUACCUAAUCAGAAAGCCACGGCUAACUACGU